UACGUAGGGCGCAAGCGUUAUCCGGAAUUAUUGGGCGUAAAGAGCUCGUAGGCGGUUUGUCGCGUCUGCCGUGAAAGUCCGGGGCUCAACUCCGGAUCUGCGGUGGGUACGGGCAGACUAGAGUGAUGUAGGGGAGACUGGAAUUCCUGGUGUAGCGGUGAAAUGCGCAGAUAUCAGGAGGAACACCGAUGGCGAAGGCAGCUCGCUGGGACGGUACUGACGCUGAGGCGCGAAAGCCAGGGGAGCAAACGGG
Molecule: ribosomal RNA, 253 nt
Filed under: uncultured bacterium
Lineage: Bacteria
Description: partial 16S ribosomal RNA
Rfam family: Bacterial small subunit ribosomal RNA
Source: RNAcentral